RNAcentral lists this ribosomal RNA (460 nucleotides) under uncultured bacterium. RNAcentral's name for it is "partial 16S ribosomal RNA". It matches the Rfam family "Bacterial small subunit ribosomal RNA", at positions 338 to 795 of the family's 1533-position model. The record is from RNAcentral.
CCUACGGGAGGCAGCAGUGAGGAAUAUUGGUCAAUGGACGAGAGUCUGAACCAGCCAAGUAGCGUAAAGGAUGACUGCCCUAUGGGUUGUAAACUUCUUUUAUAAAGGAAUAAAACGAGGCACGUGUGCCUUUUUGCAUGUACUUUAUGAAUAAGGAUCGGCUAAAUCCGGGCCAGCAGCCGCGGUAAUACGGAGGAUCCGAGCGUUAUCCGGAUUUAUUGGGUUUAAAGGGAGCGUAGAUGGGUUGUUAAGUCAGUUGUGAAAGUUUGCGGCUCAACCGUAAAAUCGCAAUUGAUACUGGCAGUCGUGAGUACAGUUGAGGUAGGCGGAAUUCGUGGUGUAGCGGUGAAAUGCUUAGAUAUCACGAAGAACCCCGAUUGCGAAGGCAGCUUACUAAACUGUGACUGACAUUGAUGCUCGAAAGUGUGGGUAUCAAACAGGAUUAGAUACCCGUGUAGUC